AUUUGUGAAUAAUGAAGUGGCUUGGUAGCAGAACAUACUUAUCUGUGCUGCAUAACCUACAGUUUCAGUUUGCCCGAGCUUAGGUUUUACGAGCUUUUUGAAGGUUUUCAAGCAAUGCACAGGGAGUUAGGAGAGCAUGGAAAGCUUGCUCUCUGUCAGCUCCUGUUCCAAACAGCUGUGCCUGCAAUAGGCUGAGGUGCUCCUUCCUUAUCUGGAGUAGGGAGAAAUUGUUUAAUACUAAUGAAUGAAACAGAUAGGAAGACAAGCGAACAGCUAAAUGGUAUUUGAGACUAUGGCACAAGUGUUGGCUGUGUGUCGGGAGAAGUGGGUAUUAUUAAAAGAGACUGGAAUUAAAAAGGGGAGUGUGCUUACUCGCACAAUGUGAAGGAAGGACCGCUGUAUGUUAACGGGGAAGAUGCGAGCAAAAGAUUAUGGUACUAGGCGGCUGGGAGCGAAUGCUACGAGAGAAACCGAUUUGCACUGGUUUAUUGAGCAAGAAGUGGGGAAGCGAGGGGAACCGACUGGCGGUACCGAACCAGGCUGGAGCAGGCGGCAGCUCGCGGCUGACGGCCGCGGGGCCAGCGGCGGACGGGCGGGGCCGCGGCCGGCGGAGCGCGGAUUGGGUGCGAGGCCUGCUCGCCCGAGGCCCGCCCGGGGCUAACGCUGGGACGGACGUCAGGGGCCGCGGUUCCCAUGGUGACGGCCCCCCCACCGGACAGGCGGGGCCCACCAUGGUUCCCAUAGAGACACGGCCUGCAGCCACGAACAGGAAGACGGGCGGGUUGGCGUUGUUCUAAUGACAGUCACAUAGGUCAUCAGUGUGAGGAGUAUAUAAACCUGAAGCAUCACAUGGAGAGAAAAACCCAAGAAGUAGAAGGAGAGCUUGCUUGUCAGAAACAGGCUGAAGCUGGUCUACAGAAGACAGGCUACAGGUUGCAUGAAAUGGAAACUCUUUUUUCUGCUAUGACUGGUGAGGGAGAACAGACAAUACAAGCAUCAUCGUUGAACUGUGGUAUUUUACCUGAAGGAGAGAAACAGAUACUUCAAUAUGAUGAUAAAAGUUAUCUUAGAAAAGGUAUUCCAAUCUUGGAAAUACAGAAGCUGAAGGAGCAGAAUGCCAGCCUUCGGGCUGCUGUUGCACAAAUGAGGAAAGAAAUGGAGAGUCUGGAUGAACAGAUGCAGUCCUCUCUUCCUCUGACGGAACAAACUAUCACUGGCCUAACUGCAGAAAUCUCGUCACUCACUCCUGGUUCAUUUUGCACAGACCAAGUUUCAGUUAGAACCACGUUGAACAACAUCAAUGUCAGCUCAAAUAACUUGGGUUGUAUAAUAAACCCAAACACAGAAAAGGGGUCAAAAACCAAAGCUCUUGAACAAAAGACGGUCGAUUUUGGCCCUAUCUCAGAUAAUUGUUGUCCUGGUGUUAGUCUUCAGUAUGGUUUCAGCUGCCCUCUACACGGAAUGCAAAAUAUACUGAACGAAGCAGCAAGGAAAAUAUCAGUUCUGAGCCAAGAGAAGCAGCAGCUGAUUGAAAUGGGAAACAGACCCAGAACAGAUAUUGGAAUGGUAUUAAAGGAAGGACUUUGGCAUCCCAUUAGCUCUAAGCGCUGCACAGUUUGUGUUGCCUCUGGUAGCCUUUCUCCAAGAGAGCUUCUCAAAAGAACACAGUGUCAGCUUUCAGCUUUAAAGCAUCUACAACACAGACUUGCAACACAGGAGCUGCAGUAUGCAAAGCAACAACAUCUCUCAAGGAUCUCUUCCGUAAUUGCCUGCCCUAACUUAAAGGGAGAAAAAGCUCCAAGCAGCUGUGGGGAAGAAACAGAAUUACCAUCUGCUCAGGUUAAGCUAGAUAUCUCUACUGGAAAUUGUGGGCCAGAGCAACAAAAGGCACAUGCAUCCUCAAAGAUGGUUCAAAGUCAGCCGCUCAAGGAAAGUCCUAGUCAAGCCCAGCAGACCUGGAUUUCUUCAUCUAGAGCACAUAGAUCUUGCCAAGGUAUUUGGCAAACCUUAGAAAUGAGAUCAAGCCCUUCUAUUCUCAAUUCUCAAAACAACACUAAACAAGGUAAGCAUGCUGUGCAAAGUAAUUUGACUCAUCUAGAAGAAAACAAGUAUAGUAGUGGACUCUGCCACAUUCCGCUAAUUAUUUUUACAUAA
This 2154-nucleotide long non-coding RNA is filed under the name Anser brachyrhynchus (Pink-footed goose). RNAcentral describes it as "lncRNA (ENSABRG00000010522.1)". The record is from RNAcentral. Lineage: Eukaryota; Metazoa; Chordata; Aves; Anseriformes; Anatidae.